GGAGGAGUUGCCGAGUGGUCGAUGGCGGCGGUCUUGAAAACCGUUGACGUGUAUGCGUCCGUGGGUUCGAAUCCUACCUCCUCCGCCA
This 88-nucleotide transfer RNA is filed under the name bacterium. RNAcentral describes it as "tRNA-Ser". It matches the Rfam family "tRNA". From Rfam's summary of the family: Transfer RNA (tRNA) molecules are approximately 80 nucleotides in length. The record is from RNAcentral.